RNA transcript from Oncorhynchus gorbuscha (pink salmon), 3596 nucleotides. It is a transcript of the gene named RNA-binding protein Musashi homolog 2, with no coding region annotated. The record is from RefSeq and is a predicted model, not a curated record. The transcript is spliced from 16 exons. Lineage: Eukaryota; Metazoa; Chordata; Actinopteri; Salmoniformes; Salmonidae.
UGUGACGAUUCCGUUCCCGGCUCAGUAAUAUUCUCCCAGUCGGGCUGUGCAUAGCUUUUGCAGUGUCUGUGUGUGUUUGUUACUGUAGUUACUGCCUAUAGUUUGGUUAGCUAUGGAAGGAGACGGGAGUCAAGUUACAUCUGGAAGCCCAAAUGAUUCACAACAUGACCCGGGUAAAAUGUUUAUUGGUGGCCUCAGCUGGCAAACCUCACCAGACAGCCUUAGAGACUAUUUUAGCAAAUUCGGAGAAAUAAGAGAAUGUAUGGUGAUGAGAGACCCCACAACAAAACGUUCCAGAGGAUUUGGAUUCGUUACGUUUGCAGAUGCUGCCAGUGUAGAUAAAGUCUUAGCUCAACCACACCACGAAUUAGACUCAAAGACGAUUGAUCCUAAGGUUGCCUUCCCCCGACGCGCUCAACCCAAGAUGGUCACAAGAACAAAGAAAAUAUUCGUGGGCGGAUUGUCAGCCAACACAGUGGUGGAAGAUGUGAAGCAGUAUUUUGAACAGUUUGGGAAGGUAGAAGACGCCAUGCUUAUGUUUGAUAAAACUACUAACAGACAUAGAGGAUUUGGCUUCAUAACUUUCGAGGGCGAAGACGUUGUAGAGAAAGUCUGUGAAAUUCAUUUUCAUGAAAUCAAUAAUAAAAUGGUAGAAUGUAAGAAGGCCCAGCCCAAGGAGGUGAUGUUCCCACCAGGCACGCGAGGGAGGGCCAGGGGCCUGCCCUACACCAUGGACGCCUUCAUGCUGGGGAUGGGCAUGCUGAGUUACCCGAACAUUGUGGCAACAUACGGUCGUGGAUACACUGGAUUCACCCCCAGUUACAGCUAUCAGUUCCCUGGUUUCCCGGCGACGGCGUACGGACCGGUGGCGGCAGCGGCGGUGGCAGCAGCGCGUGGCUCAGGUAGGGGGGCCCGAGGAAAAGGUGGCUACAUGGCGUAUCCGCAGAACACAGGGCCAGGCUUUCACGAUUACGGGUUUUACUCUGCGCCCAGUGACCAGAGGGGAGCGCCCUGCUCCUUUGCGGACUAUGGCUCCCUGGGGCCCCAGGCGGCUCAGAUGCUGCACAGUGAGCAUGCCACCUCCGCCUGCAACUCCCCCCUCCAGCACCUGCACAGCCCGGAUCAGUUUAAGAGCCCAGGGGGAAACCCAGCUCGUCCUGGAGGCUUCCCAGGUGCCAACAGCCCAGGGCCUGUAGCCGAACUGUACGGCCCUGGAGGCCAGGACUCCAAUGUGGCUAACUACAUCAGUGCCGCUAGCCCCCAGGCUGGCUCCGGCUUCGGCCACAGUAUCGCAGGCCCGUUGAUUGCGACAGCUUUUACAAAUGGAUACCAUUGAACAGGUGUUCGGUUGCCAUCUCAUUGGAGUAACCCUCUAUUUCACCUCACCAUGCUACAAACUUGUACAGCAGAGUCUAUCUGGUGGUCCAGGGAAGACAGACCGAACCUUCUAAUUGGCUCUGUGUACAGGUGAUGUCAUCCAACUUCAAGCACUACAGCAUCACCCAGGAGAAAUGGUGGAACCACAUCAAAAACAUCAUCUCAGAAAGGAAAGAAAACUGCUGUACCAUAAUCCAAACCUGUAACCUGACAACCUGGUUUGUUAUGACAUUUCUUGAUGAUUUCAUUCACUUUUUUCCCUUCCUUUUAUUAGUUGUUUGAUUAGCUUUACAGAGAGGCAUUUUGGUUUGAUCCUAAUUACUUGUGUCAUUUUUUGAUUUUCUCUUGUAGUGUAUGUAUGUAAAUGGAUAUGCUUCUCUCUUUCGGGGGUCAUAGUCGAGAAUGUACGAAGCAAUGUGUUCACAUUUGGUACCAAUUCGUUUAAUCAAAAAAGAUCAGCGCUUUAGGUGUCUUUUUGCACAUAAAAGAAAUCCAAAGUGGAAAGUCUUGGAAAAAAACAUCAAUUUCAUUUCAAAUGAAAAUUCGAGAGGGUAACUAACUAAUAAAUCUUAGUAGCUGUUUUUAAUUAUUGUGAUGUCUCAUUGUUAACCAUAAUUACCUAUUUUUGGGCAAUACAAAGAGGACUCCAAUAUUUUUAUGGUCCUUUUUUACAAGUGUUGUUUUUGUUGUUUAGAAAAAAAUAUGUAUACUAUAAAACAUUUCAUAUAAAUACAUUGUGAAUUCAAAGACUUAAGAAAAAUAAAUGUAACUGUAAAUACUAUUCCAGUCAUUGCAUAUAACCAACUCGAUGAGAGAAUAGCAUAUUUUUGUGAUGGUGUGUCAAAGAAAUGUUCUAGCGUGUGAAUAGGAAAAAAAGCUCUAAAGAAAUACUAUUAUCCUUUGCUGCUCAGAGACAGUGACUAACCCCAGUGAUGGACACAACACAUUUCAACACUGAUGGCUUGCUCUGGAAAUACUCAAGCUGAAUAACUUUACAAGUGUCAAACCAGUGCAUUUACAAGUGGUGAGUUCAGCGCACAGUUUUAAAAUGGAUAAAAGAUCAUCGGUAUCCUUUGUCUAACCAAGUGUUAUUUAAGAGAUCAAUGUUAUUUGAGUGAUCAUUUAAUCCAAAGCACACUGUACUUAGUGUUGAAGAGUAGAACUGGAGCCUAAGCAUUUUACAGUACUCUGCGCAUCCAGACACUUUUAUACUCCUGAGAGAAAAGCUCAGCUUGUUGUUUGUUGUGUUGUUGUUGUUGUUGGUUCCCUCCUGCUUGCUCCUCUUACGUUUGGGACUCCAUCAGUUCUCUUUUCAAUGAAUUGGGAAGGAAAACAAUUUGAUACCAUACCUCAGCCCUGUGAGUUAUACCUUGGAAUCGUUGAGAGGUUGAAUUUAUUUUAGUGGCAAAUAGAUUCAAACAUUGAAUGGAGAGAAAAGAAAAUGUCUAAAUCAUUGCACUGUGAGCAGUAAAGAAAGAACAGGCCAUUUCCCAUUUGCACAUGUAUAUGUUGGCUAUUUAAAAUGGUCCUGUCUCUGGGGUGAAGUAUGAAGGAGUAUUGGAUGUUGCUCCUCUCUAGAAUAGGCAUACACAAACAGCUUGGCAAAUAGCAAUUAACUGAUGAAUUACUACCAAUGUGUUGUGGUCAUGUCUUUGGAUUUCACUGUAUUGUGUACGCCAACUUCUAAUCUAAAAUAUUGAUGCUAUUUUACAUCCAGCCAAUAGAAGACACUGAAUAAAUUAUUCAUCCUGGUAACCAUAGCUGCUGCGCUAAUUUCUUACACCGUAUGUGUAGGGACAGGUUUUGCUCAAUUAUAGAGACAUUUAACGACAUGCUUUAAAGUGCAGUACGAUUUGUAAACAUGACGAUGGAAUGAGUGGUGUAUAUUCUGAUGUACUUUUCCUGCUGCAAAUAUGUUUGACAAUUCAUUUCACCUGACGUUUCAUUUCAUUAUCUCUUUGGUUCAGAACAACCAGGUGAAGGAAAAUGCUGGAUGCUUUUGAGUGAUGUGGAGAUAUGAUCAAGUAAUAAUUGAAAUGAGAAAACGGAAGAGAACCAUUGUAAUGUUCAAAUGUAAAAGGAAAAAAAGAAAUACAAAACUUUUUUUUUAAAGAAAAAGAUGCUUCUUCACUGAUUUCAAUUUUGAAUCAGGGGAUUUUAUUGAUAUUUUUGUGGUUACUAAUUGUAAUAUGAUAUUAUUAAAAUGUACUGUGCAUCCA